This 6188-nucleotide long non-coding RNA is filed under the name Gossypium raimondii (Peruvian cotton). Its description in RNAcentral is "long non-coding RNA (GRAI_LNC005310)". Lineage: Eukaryota; Viridiplantae; Streptophyta; Magnoliopsida; Malvales; Malvaceae. The record is from RNAcentral.
GGAAAGGCAGAGGUUAGUUUGGAAUUAAGAAAAAAGAAUUUAUACAGAACAGAAAAGCCAAAACAGAAUAAUAACACACCAAUUGUUUGGUAAAUACUCUAAAAAUAUUUUUUUUUGAGUGAAAGUUGGCCUUCAUUAAAUAAAGAGGAACUAAUGCGUUCCAUCAAACCAUAUCAAAUCAUACUAAAGAAACAAAUAGCCCUAAUCAGUAAAGAAACCCCUUCCCCCUAACUAUAAGUAACAAAUGAAGCUAGAAUCUGAACAAUCUUCUUGUAGACACGACCCCAGCGAGGACCUGCAUGAAAAAUCAGAGAAGAAACGCAGGAAAAGCUUGCCUUGGGAACCUUUUGGAGUGAAAGAUACUGUGAUCUCCAAAAUCCAAAGCCAAAACCAUUGAAAACUACCCCCCGGAGCUUCGUGACGUCCAUUACUGUCAAUCCAGAGUCGUUGAGCGCUUUACCUCUAAAGGAGCUUCCUCAAUCCAAUAUUGUGGUGCUGGAAGGCGACACCCACUUCUUGCAAGAACAUGAGCUGUUGUAUUCGCCGAUCUGCCAACAAACCCGAAUGUAACACUAUCAAAACCUCUCACCUUCCCCUUAAUGUCUUGAAUAAUCAGACCUAGUACUGAUCUGUCUGAAUCUAUGUUGUUUAAUUUUUUCAUGACUGUGAGUGAAUCGCCUUCCACAUGUAUCGAUCUAAACCCAAGCUCUUGAGCAAAGGUCAUUGUUUGUUCGCAUACAUGUGCUUCAGCUAUGAAAGCAUCUGCAACGCCAAAAUGCGGGUAAGUGCAAGCUGCCAGAAUUUCCCCAUUUUCAUUUCUAUCUAAAACACCCAAAAUAGGAAUAUUGGUAUUAGUAUUGAAAGAAGCAUCAUAGUUUAGCUUUAUGUUGUUUGUGUCUGGAGGAACCCAAAUCUCUUAUUUAGGAACGAAUGAGGAAGGUCUCAACCCCUCAAGGGCUUCUAUUUCUAUGAGAUAACCCUUAAUGAAUACCACUAGUUCCGGUAUAUUUGGCUUAAUACCAUCAUGAACCAACCUAUUCCAAGCAUGCCAGAUUGCCCAGUAAGCAAUUACAAGAACCUCCUUUUCCUUAUCAGCCAGCUGAUUAAAACCCAUUGCUAACCACUGCUUAUAAUUUGAAUAUUGUGACAAAGGUAACAUCCUUGUUUUCAAAGAGGCUAGUGUUUGUUUUGAGACAAUACACGACCUCAAAAGGUGGUCCACAGAUUUUUCAGUUUCUUUACAUAGAAGGCAUAAUUUAUCAACAUGCAUCAUACGUUUAGAUAAAUUCUCGAAUGUAGGUAGAAAGUUAUGUGUAAGUCUUUAGAAUGUAAUUUUGAUUUACCUUGGAAGAUGUAAAGCCCAUAGUUUUGUAAAUAGCAUUGUAAUUAGAUUAGGUAAAUCCAUAGACUGGGAAGUCUUAGCAUGUAAUUCUUGGUCAAGCAACAACUUGUAACCACUACUUGGAGAAUACUCACCCGACCCUUCAUAUCGCCAGACCAACAUAUCUAGACAGUCUGUUUGUGCUAGUGGAAUCAUCAGCACCUUCUCAGCUUGUUUGUACAAGUAUCAAAAUUAAUUAGUUGUGAGACAGUAUUUUGACACUGUAUUUUCCUAUUACCUGGCCCAGGAAUCCAAGCAUCAUUCCAGAUGUUUACACUAUUACCGGCCCGUGCCAAUUCUCCAACCAAUUCCCAUUUCAAUUAGGCCCCUUGCACUUAAAAUACUCCUCUAGGUAAAAGAAGCAUAAGAUCCUAACCUUGCAGACAUGAAAUUUGAUUAAGGAAAAUAUCUAACUUUUAAAACUUUUGCCAAUAAACAAUCACCAUGCGUAAUAAUAUGCCAACACUGCUUGGCCAAUAAUGCUAUGCUGAACUUGGAUAAAUCACAAAACCCCAACCCUUCUUUCGCUUUCAAUAAACAAAGUGGGUGCCAUGCAGACCAAUGUAUACCUCGACGCGUAUUAUUAUUCCGCCAUUAUUAAAAAUGUUACUCAAUUGGGUAUAAAGUGUCUUUGGAAAAAAAAAACAUUGCAUAGCAUAGACUGGUAGAACUUGCAAUACGGAUUUUAUGAAAACCUCUUUCCCACCUAUAGAUAGAAAUCUCAUACCCAAACCUUCCACCUUCUUACUAAAGCAAUCCAAAUAAUGCGCAAAUGCUUGCUUUUUACUUCUACCAACCAUGACUUAGAAUCCCAAAUACUUCUAGGGGUUUUUCAAAAUCCGAAAGCCCAACAGCCUCCCCACAACAUUUUAGACAUUCAAAUCCACAUUAGCUCUAAAAUAAAGAAGAGACUUUUCAUAGUUGACCUUUUGUCUCUAAGCUUUUUCAUAUUUAGAAAUAAUCUGUUUUAUAUUUUGAGCUCCUUCCCUUAAAGCCUCACCAAAUAAAACACUGUCAUCCACAAAGAAGAGGUGAUUUAUUGCUAGUCUCUCCCUUCUUAUACACGCCUCCUUUAUUCGCUCUACUGCUUUUGCUUCAUUAAGAAUAGUCGAGAACCCCUCAACACACAAUAAAAACAAGUAUGGACUAAGGGGAUCACAUUGAUGCAAACCCCUCGAAGAGAAAAAAAAAAGAUUCACUAAUGCUGCCAUUAACCCCGACCAUAUAGGAAACAAAGGACGCACAUAUCAUAAUUAGCCUCACCCAAUUUUCGUGAAAACCCAAGUGUACCAUUAUCCCUAUUACAAAGUCUCAUUCAACUCUAUCGUACGUUUUGCUCAUAUCGAGCUUAAGCGCAAAAUUUCCUAGUUUACCCAAUCUCUUCACUUUGAGUGAGUGCAAUAUUUCAUAUACAACAAGGACAUUAUUUGAAAUUUGCUUGUUAGGAAUAAACUCUCAUUGAGCUUCAUCAACACACUCUCCCAACAGACCACUUAUUAUGUUCACUAUUACCUUGGUAAUGAUCUUAUACAACACAUUGCAUAAACUAAUAGGCCUAAGCUGUGUCAUAUUGCAAGGAUUAUUUACCUUCAAAAUCAAAACAAUGAGUCCUAUUGAUUUUGUUGAUAGUAAUCUCCCCACGAAGAACCGCAAGGCAAUAGUUCGUAACAUCAUUACCUAUGACAUGCCAAUAUUUUUUAUAAAAUAAAGUCGGGUACUUAUCAAUACCUGAUGCUUUAAGAGGCGACAUAGAUUUGACAGCAACCCAUACUUUUUCAGGUAGAAAAGGUUGCAGCAAAUCCACAUCCAUCUUUGUCAUCACCUUUCUUUAAACGUUAGCAUAAAUCCUAGAAGUAUCCUCUUCGUCCGAGGCCGUGAAAAGUUCCAUGAAAUACUUAGAAGCAAUCUUCAGAACCUCUUCCUCGUCACUUACCCCUUCCCUUUCAAUGCCAACAAUUCUGUUUCGCUUCCUUCGACCACAAACUACCUUAUAAAAAAAGUGGUAUUCCUGUCCCUAGUCGAAAGUCAGUUAACUCAGGCUCUCUGUUCCCAAAAUAGUUCCUCUUUAUCAUCCUCCAAAUUUAGCCUAAUUUGGAUAUUUGUUAAUUUGGCAAGGAUAUCAUCAUCCAGCUUCUUAGCGUAAAGCUCAUUCAUCCUAAGUUCUAGCCAUUGUUUAUUGGCCACUCAGCUUCUUUUAACCUAAUGACUCCAAUUUCGCAAUGUUUUCCCCAAACCAUUUAAUUUAAUUGGUAAAGCAUCAUUAGAAAAGGACCAAAAAUUGUAAAUUUCUUUCUCGCAUGAAUCCUUCAAACACCAAUUUGCAUCAAAACGAAAUUGACCCUGACCCUUUCGUGGCCCACUUUGUCGACUGAUUGUGUUUAUCACAAUUGGAUAGUGAUCAGAUAAUGAGUGUGUCCAAUGCGUCAUAGAGUAAUCCAAAAAUAAACUCCACUAAGCCAGAUUUGCCAUACCUCUAUCAAGUCUUUCUCGAAUAUGGUUGCCGUAAAUCUACCCUUCUCCCAUAUGAACCCGUGCCUUAUGAACCUUAUAUCACUCAAAUAGCAAUCUUGUAACAUAAUUCUGAAAACCUCCAUGUUUCUUUCCAGACGCAAUCUACCACCCCUCUUUUCAAAAGAGUAAGCUAUCUUAUUGAAAUCACCAGCUACUAACAACGGGAUAGACUGAUCUUGACCCAACUAACGAAUCAAAUUCUACGAAAUACUCGUUAACCGUUCUUCAGGAUCACCAUAAAAACCCGUGAAGCACCAUACCACUCUUUCCCGAUCAUCAUGAAUAUCAACAUCGAUAUGAUAUUGAGAAUAACUAUGUAGAUUAACUGUACAAUUCUGUCUCCAUCCCAGUGACAAUCCUCCUUUAGAACUCACUGCUCCCACAUUAAUACCAUUCGCGUAACCAUAUUUCCUCCUAACAAUCUCCAUAUUUCACGCACUAAUUUUUGUUUCCAUUAGAAACAAAAUCUGGGGACAUAUUUCUCUCAACUUAUUCUUGAGACGACAUACUGCCUGUGGCCUCCCCAAACCAUGAACAUUUUAGCUUACGAUUUUCAUUACCUAGUCGAUGGAAUAUAACCAUUUUCUGAUACACCACCAUUGCUUUUAAUUUUACCGGUGGUAACCUGCCCCACCACUCUUUGUCAUUUAUUCCCUUCAACGUAUUGGAUAAGAUAUUCUUCCCCAUUUGAAACCAGUUCCAUAAGCCCAAGAUUAGUAGGCCUACCCCUCUUUCAUGUCAGUAUCCAAGUGAGAUACACCUACUCUAUCUCCAACCGGUUGGCAUAUGGUAGACCCUACUAAUUGUAGCUUAUGAUUGGGAUACAAAUUGGUAGCAUUAUACCCCAAAAUUACGCCUUAAUUGACUCCUUUCCUUAUCCAUCCUUUGACUUAUGGAACUAUCUGGUUCCCGUAACCAUCGACUCACUGCCAAUGAGCCUCUUUUUAUUAGUUCUCGCAAAGAGAUAUCCCAUCCAAAUUGGAUUUUUUUCGGAUCUAUUCGCACCCUCAAUGGGCCAAACCUCUCUCCAUGCCCAAACUUUCCACAAAGAAAACAAAACAAACUAAGUCUUUCAUAUUGAAACCGAGCAUAAACUGUUCGACUAACGCCUAAUAGAAUCUUCUUCUUACGCUUUAAUGGAAGGCAAACAUCCAACCAGACCUUAAUUUGCAUAAAUCUUUGUACAGCUAACAAGAAAUCUUUGUAUCAUAUUCAAGAAAAUACCUAGAAACACUUAAAACUGCCGCACCAUAGCCUCUGACAUUAGACCCGGAGGUAGAUCAUGAAAUUACAUCUAGAACUCAACAGAAAAUAAUGGCAACGUGAUAGAGUCCUCUGGUUAGAUCCUAUGCAGCAAAAACAAAUGAUUGUUAAAGAACCAUGGUGUUCCAUCCAAAACGCGUUGUAUAUCCAUUUCAUAAAAAAAUAAAAUAAAACUCACUUUUCUCCUAGAUCUUUAAUAAAAACUCCACCAAUAAGGUGCCAUAAAUCAAUCAAAGUAUUCCUUAGCGAGGGGAAAUGCACCACACUAUCUACUAGGCAACACCCUACUAAACAGAACUUGAACUCCUCAUCCGCCUCACUCUCUUCCCCUAAAAUGCUUCUUCCUCCUCAUCAACAAGUUUCAGAUUCGUUAACUCGUCUUCUAUAGCCCUCACCUAAAACCCUAGAGAAAUUAUGUUAAAAGAUAGACUAAAAUCGACGUAUUGGUAUAGAUUAAGCCAAUAUUUUAUAGUUGUGCUUCUCCAGAUCUAAUGGUAUAGAUUGAAUUAUAUCAACUGUUAAAAUUAGUGCCAAUUUACAAUAUAAGAGUCCUAAGGGAUUUAAACUCUAUACAUCUUUAUUCCUUAAUAUUUACAAUAAUUACCUUGGCAACUUUAGUUUUACUAGAGUGUUUCAUUAGGCUACCAAGGCUUCAAGUAGAUGAGUUUCUCCAUAUGUUCCAUGAAUCGAGCCAAUUGAAGUGGGUCAAAUGAGCCCCAUUUAAUUAGUUGACCUUCAUGGGACGCUCUAUGUUCAUUUGUCACAGGUUUUGAUCUGUGUCCUAUGACAUUCUCCCUCACUCAUUCUCGCAAUGCCCUCGUCGCAUCCUUGGAAUGACACUGGUUUGACUCAUUUUAGAACUACCUCAAUGCCUCGGUUGAUGCCCAACUAGUCUCUCUAUCAGGUAGUUCCGCUCCUUGAAACAUUUGCCUCGACUUAUGUCUUCGUCGUCACCUAACUCAAAUUGUAUUUCUCUCUUGUACAUUUCAUUUGCAAGAGUCUACCGCUCUUACUUGUCCCCAUCAUGACUUGC